AGGAAACAGCGGCCUCGCUGAGGAGAAGAAAGGAGCCGCCCCCUUCGUCGCCAGCCCCCUCCUCACUUCCCGUCCGGCGCGCUGCUCCCUCGGGGAGCGAGCAGGAGGCGGCCCAGGCGGAGCGGGAGGAGCUGGCAGCGGGGCGCAUGCCAGGCAGCCGGGAUUGCUUACCACCUGCAGCGUGCUUUCGGAGGCGGCGGCUGGCACGGAGGCCGGGCUACAUGAGAAGCUCGACAGGGCCUGGGAUCGGGUUCCUUUCCCCAGCAGUGGGCACACUGUUCCGGGUCCCAGGAGAGGUGCCUGGCGAGGAGUCCCACCACUCGGAGUCCAGGACCAGAGAGUGUGGCCUUGACCUGAGAGGCCUCUUGGUCGGGAGCCCUGUUUCCAAGAGCUCAGCAGCCCCUGCUGUGACCUCUGUGAGAGGAACCUCAGCACACUUUGGGAUUCAGCUCGGAGGUGGCACCAGAUUGCGUGACAGGCUUAGCAGGCUGUGUGGCCCUGGGAAUGCUGGGUGGCAGCAAGAGUUUGCAGCCAUGGACAGUUCUGAGACCUUGGACGCCAGCUGGGAGGCAGCCUGCAGUGAUGGAGCAAGGCGUGUCCAGGCAGCAGGCUCUGUGCCAUCAGCAGAGUUGAGUAGCAAUAGCUGCAACCCUGGCUGUGGCCCUGAGGACCCCCCAGCCCCUCCUGGCUCUCACGGUGCCUUUGCCUCAAGCUUUAGCUUUAUUCGGCUCUCGCUUGGCUCUGCCGGGGAACGUGGAGAAGCAGAAGGCUGCCCACCAUCCAGAGAGGCCGAGUCCCCUUGCCAGAGCCCCCAGGAGAUGGGAGCCAAAGCUGCCAGCUUGGAUGGGCCUCCUAAGGACCCUCGAUGUCUCUCUCGGCCCUUCAGUCUCUUGGCUACACAGGUCUCAGAAGACUUGGCCCAGGCCGCCGGGAACAGCUCCAGGCCAGAGUGUGAGAUGCAUUCUUUACCGGACGUGGACUCUGGCUCCUCCAGUUCUCUGGAUCCCUCAUUGGCUGGCUGUGGUGGUGAUGGGAGCAGCAGAUCGGGGGAUGCCCACUCUUGGGACACCCUGCUCAGGAAAUGGGAGCCAGUGCUGCGGGACUGCCUGCUGAGAAACCAGAGGCAGGUGGAGGUAAUAUCCUUAAGAUUAAAACUUCAGAAACUUCAAGAAGAUGCAGUUGAGAAUGAUGAUUAUGAUAAAGCUGAGACAUUACAACAAAGAUUAGAAGACCUGGAACAAGAGAAAAUCAACCUGCACUUUCAGCUUCCUUCAAGGCAGCCAGCUCUUAGCAGCUUCCUGGGUCACCUGGCAGCACAAGUCCAGGCUGCCUUGCGCCGUGGGGCCACUCAGCAGGCCAGUGGAGACGACACCCACGCCUCACUCAGAACGGAGCCGAGGCUGUUGGAAUGCACUGCUCAGGACAGCUUGCACGUGUCCAUCACGAGACGAGACUGGCUUCUUCAGGAAAAGCAGCAGCUACAGAAAGAAAUCGAAGCUCUCCAAGCAAGGAUGUCUGUGCUGGAAGCCAAAGAUCAACAGCUGAGAAGGGAAAUAGAGGAGAAAGAGCAACAACUCCGGUGGCAGGGCUGCGACCUGACCCCACUGGUGGGCCGGCUGUCCCUGGGUCAGCUGCGGGAGGUCAGCAAGGCCUUGCAGGACACCCUGGCCUCAGCCGGUCAGAUUCCCUUCCAUGCAGAGCCACCGGAAACCAUAAGGAGCCUCCAGGAAAGAAUAAAAUCCCUCAACUUGUCACUUAAAGAAAUCACUACCAAGGUGUGUAUGAGUGAGAAAUUCUGCAGCACCCUGAGGAAGAAAGUUAACGAUAUUGAAACCCAACUACCAGCCUUGCUUGAAGCCAAAAUGCAUGCCAUAUCAGGAAACCAUUUCUGUACAGCUAAAGACCUCACCGAGGAGAUUAGAUCAUUAACAUCAGAGAGAGAAGGGCUGGAGGGACUCCUCAGCAAGCUGUUGGUGUUGAGUUCCAGGAAUGUCAAAAAGCUGGGAAGUGUUAAAGAAGAUUACGACAGACUGAGAAGAGAAGUGGAGCACCAGGAGACUGCCUAUGAAGCAAGUGUGAAGGAAAAUACUAUGAAGUACAUGGAAACACUUAAGGAUAAACUGUGCAGCUGCAAGUGUCCACUGCUUGGGAAAGUGUGGGAAGCUGACUUGGAAGCUUGUCGAUUGCUUAUCCAGAGCCUACAACUCCAGGAAGCCAGGGGAAGCCUGUCUGUAGAAGAUGAGAGGCAGAUGGAUGCCUUAGAGGGAGCUGUUUGUAUAGCUGCUCCUCCCAUUCCCCCCAGGCUCCACUCCGAGGAUAAAAGGAAGACCCCUUUGCAGGCAUUGGAAGAAUGGAAGGCUCACCUCAUCCCCUCUCUGUACUGUGCUGGAGGCGAACAGAAAGAGGAAUCUUACAUCCUUUCUGCAGAACUUGGAGAAAAGUGUGAAGACAUAGGCAAGAAGCUAUUGUACUUGGAAGAUCAACUUCAUACAGCAAUCCACAGUCACGAUGAAGAUCUCAUUCAUAUCCUUUUCAACUUGCAGAUUAAGCAAGACGAAGUUAUUUUAUAGAAGAAAGUCUUUAAAAGGUAGUUAUGCCUCAGAAGAUGGCAACAAAUAGAUGCUGCUGUUAUGUAUAGUGCAAAGCACCUCAGAUCUCUGAGAUUAUCAGGUCCUCCCACAGCUCCCCCCAUCUCACUGUGAACACAGCACAGCUGGACAUACUAUCAACAUGGCGCCUGUUUACUUUCUGCUGCUCUCAUAGGUAUUUAUGCCAUCCAUGAUAGCAGUGACUUUGAUUCACUCCUGUACUGCUGUGUCUAUAACAUUUGUUAACACAGAGUAGAAACUCAGGAAACAUUUGAAUGUUUGAAUGAAUGAAAGAAAGAAUGAGGAUCUCUCUCUGCACUUUUAUUUCUCCCAACUGCUUCACAGGGAUAUGUUUCCAGUGGUUUAUUUUAUAAACAUAUUGAUUUAAAUAGGAAAGCAAUGCAUUUCCAUUGUGAAUAUCACAGAAGUAUGGAAAAUAAAAAAGCUGUUUCCUUCCCAGUGCCUCUACCUGGAGAUCACUACUUUGUCCUCCUGAAGCCCUUUUCUAGACCUGUAAAUGGCUUAUCUCAAUAGUCUUUGUUUACAAAAUUAGGAUCAUUCCAUACAAAUUAUUCUAGAAUGUGCUUUCCCCCACCCCAUUGUGCAUUUUUCCCUGGGCACACUUCCAUUUCAGUACAUCCAAAAUGCUUUGUAACUCACACUUUGUAAGGGAUCAUAAAGGCAGGUUGGUUAGAGAGAAGUACUUUGCAAAUAAAAUGCGAUUUUAAUUAUUAUUUUAAUGAUUAUUAUCCCCACAGGCUCAUUAAAUGAGGUUUCUAGGAUUUCUGAUGUCCAGCCCUGCUUUGACAGAGCCUAAGGUAAUGCUGCUAUAACUUCAUGUGCGUAGCUUUUCCUUUCCUUUAAAUUAUGUCCUGUGAAGAGAGUCCCAGGAGUGAAACUACUAAAAGAUGAGAAAGAGUGGUAUAGUUGAGAUGAAAUUAGCAUUAGGAACAGAAUUGAAGACAAUGACUAGCCCAGCAAGGGCCCAUUCCUCUGCAGGGAGAAUUCUCAACCAGAUAUUGACUGGUUUAAUUGAUUUUGUGGUGUUCCUGCUCAUCAUGAAUAUAUCCACAAUAACCACAUCAGGUGAGUCACUGUUGGAUAAUUCUUAACAUUUACAAUGAGCAAUGUCGAUCCUGCAGCUAUAUCUUAUUGAUCUCCUUCGAUACCACUCUUGUUGGUCUGUGCUCCUCCUAUUUUGUCUACAGAUAAAAAGUGUAGAGUCCUGGAAGAAUCCAGGAUUUAAAGAUUAGAGAUCUGGACUGAAGUUGUCUUCUACUUAGCACUUGUAUGAUUUUAAGCUGAUCAUUUACCUUGUUGAUCCUGCAAAAUGAAGCCUGCCUUUCACGGUUGUGGAAAAACUCAAAAGAGUCAAUACAUGUGAAAAUAUUUUUUUAAAAAAAGCAACAUAUACAUACAUCCUUCAAAAUUUUUUUUUUUAAAUUUCUGCUAUAUGGAGUGAACGGGACCAAUCUAAAGCAGGACGUAACCCAGUCAAGCGAGAACACUGUACUCAACCUAGAGUACAGUGGCUCUCAAGAGGUACCUGGCAAUUCAGGUAGAUUUCUUAAUAUAAAAAGAAGUAUUUUCAAUUUCUGGUUCUGUAGACCUGCCUUCCUCAAUCUUCAGGAUGGUCUCAGACACUUGGGAGAACGUGAAUGCUUGAGAUGCAAAGUGCUUCUAUUUAAUUUCUAUUUAAUCUGCUCAGCUCAGCAAAGCUGAGGGUAAAUACUUGAAAACAUCCAAGGGUUUGUCUAGAACAGCCUCCCCAAUUUGGAGAAUUGCACACCAGCCAGAGCUUGCUUGGGAUGGCCUUAGCCACAGUCCUCCUUCCGCUGCCUGGCCCCUGCCUGUUUCACAUCCUCUGCCCCUAAGCAAUGUGGCAAAGCAGAUUCCAGUCCCUAGUGAAUUCCCCAAAGGUGCAUUUCAAUAUGAACCCCCUUGAUUUGCCAUUCUCUUUUGCCUCUACCUAACUUUAAUGACUUUUUCCUAAUUUUUACCAAUAGUUUCCACUUGGGGCUUUUAUUAUUUAGAUGUCUUCUUCUUAACUCAUAUAUUUGCAUUUCCUUUGUAGAAGAGAAGGGGAGAGUGGCAGUUCCUGAUUACUUGAGAACUUCAGGGUGAGUUCAUAGUGCUUCUAAAACACCCUCUUCAUUUACUAACCCUAAAGAGCAAGGCUGAGACGCAGGCAUUGAUUUCUGCAUUCUGUGAGGGGCUUCUGCUCCUAGCAGGACAACAACAUCUGUAACAACUACAAAGCCAGGAGCACCAGGAAUGCACACUUAGGUCUGCAUUUGUCCGAGCCUUCGGUACAUGAAAACCCCAUGCCACCAUCUUUCUUUGCCUGGAUGGAAGCAGCAGAUGCUUUGUGCUGGCCCAGAGAGUUCCUUUUUUCACAAAUGGAAUGAGUAAGAACACUUGACAGAGGAACACAAGGAGAACUGGAGGGAAGUUGAUAAUACUCACUUUGGGCAAAAAUGCUUGUUGAGGUAGGAGGAAGAUGUUUUAAAAAAUGAAAAUGAUAAUAAAUUAAUGCACUCUUACAAAAUAUGGGAGGAGGGAACGAGAAAAUAACAAUGAGGCCAGAGGGAGGCAAAUGACAUGUUGCAACCCGUGAGAAAAAAAGAAAAAAAUAACAAGUUCUUUAUGUAACGGCGUGUACCACACAAUGCACAGAAAACCAUCUCUGAUUUAUUAGUUUCCCAUGAGGGAAGUUUGGAAAUGCAAAAGGCAUGCAUUAAAGGGUUGUCUCGCUAGGCACGGUUUUGACUUUUAAGGACAAGCAUAGAAAGGCAUCUCUUCCUGAACUGAGGAGCUGGCAAUUACCAGGGAGAUGCUUGCCUUGGGAUUUCACCAGAGUAAAGGCAUCUGAAUAUUUUGUGCCUAGGAAGAUCUGAGUCCUUCCUGAUAAUGAGGAAACUGCGAGGGAGAUUCUCAGCUAGUCUGCAAAGUCAUGGUGAACUUGUUUCUUUUGUGUUCCAGUGCACUCCUUAUGUUUCUGUCCCACUAGCAGGCAGGAGGCUCUGGGGCAAGGCAGUGUCCGGGUCUCAGGCCUGGUCCUUGUUCUCAGAGUCGGCCCUAUGCCGGGUAUCCUGUACAAAGUUCCAAAGGCAGGCAGGGCACCCCUUCCUUCCAUAAGAUUUCAACCUUAGUAAAAUCUCAGCCCAAAUUUUAGGUUUGGGAGGAAAAAAAAGUCUGCCCUAAGAAUUGAUAGCCUUCUCUCAGACAGGCUUGGGGUCAAAUUUACUGACUCUGUGGUCCAGAAACCCCCAAGCUAAGAGACACAUGUGAAAAAUGGCCCUGGCAGGGGAAGGAUUGAUCUCAAGCAAGUAUCACUGGGGGAGAUUAAUUCGAGUAGCCACAAGGGGAAUUAAAAACUGAUUCAGUGGGGGAGGGUGGGGACCAACAUUAAAUCAUUUAGGUGCUCUCCCCAGCCCCACCCUCUCCCUACUCCCCCUUUCCCUCUCUUGUUAAAUCUCUUCCUUGUAGAACCAUUAUUCAUUUAUGAUGGUCAUGGGAAAUCUUCUUAGCCACUAAGAAGAUUGCUAUAAUCGCUCUCAACCUGCCUACACCCUAUUUUUCACUUUGUUAUGCUAUCAAGAAAAUAUGACUCACUCUUCCUUGAUAUUUUUUCCCAAUCAUAAUGAGAUCCCUCUCUCCUGUAGAGGAAGGAAAGGAUUUUCUUGAAUUACUGAAAGACUUUCCAAAUUAGGAAAAACAUUCACAAAGGCAGUCAGAAUGAACGCUUUCUUCCCCAGACAUUGCCUGGGGCAGGCAUGUGAUGCCCCCACGUCAGCCACACAAAGUUAUUGGGGUAAAAAUGUAUGGUUUGGUUUUGAAACAUGACAGAAAGCUGGACAGAUCUGUCAUGAUGGGCAUUUGCCACAUGCCCAUGACAAGAGGGUUAUACACAUGGACAGAAGGGCUGAAAGAUUCAUUAUUAUCUAUAUCACUACCAGAAAACUAUGAAACUUGACUAUGGAGACAUCUGUGAUAUUUCACAAGGACCCAGUACUCAGGCAUGACUGCACCGCUGGGCUCCUGUAUCACAUACUCACUCCAUAGCCUCCAUGGUACGGUUUCUGUUCCCACCACUUCAUUAACAUUCUUUUCACACAUGAGCUGCCAAAUCCAACAGCAUUUUAUCUGCCCUCAUUCCAUUCUACAUUUCAGUAGAAAUGUGCAGUGUGGAAACUAACCUCUUGCUUAUUGAACCUCCUUUUUCUCUUGGGUUCCAUGACACUCCAUUCCCAAUAGUCUUAUCCUAUAUCCAUCUUUCUGCAUGAUUACUCUUUCUUGUGCUUAAAAGAUGGAUACUCCAAGUCUCUGUCCUAGAUCUCUUCUCUCACUGGGCAAUUUAAUCUGUUCUAACAAGUUUUACAACAUGUCCAUAGUGAUUAUUCCCAAAGAUAUAAUAUUCAUUGGCGAUAUGCAUUGGACACUCACCACAUGUUAGGUACUGGAUUGAAUGCAAAAUUCAAAGUUGUGUAUGGUUCAGUACCCUCUAAUCAUUCUCCAGUUAUGCCUUCUUUUCUGAGCUUUGAUUCUGCUGGACAUUUCCAUCACCACUGUUACUGAACUGAACUCGAGUUUGCCCACCUGGGGCAGCAAAGUCAAACACUGACAUUGGGAUUUGCAGGGAGACAACAUGAGGCAUUUAUUGUGGAGCAUCAGGUGAGGACUAUCAGACAGCUCAUGCUUAAGACCCCAACUCCCAGAUGGCUUAUGAAUAAGGGUGUUUGUUUGUUUGUUUGUUUGUUUGUUUGUUUUGAGACACAGUUUUGCUCUUGUUGCCCAGGCUAGAGUGC
Molecule: RNA transcript, 7396 nt
Organism: Cercocebus atys (sooty mangabey)
Lineage: Eukaryota; Metazoa; Chordata; Mammalia; Primates; Cercopithecidae
Gene: DISC1
Gene name: disrupted in schizophrenia 1
Exons: 14
Source: RefSeq, a predicted model, not a curated record